UACGUAGGGUCCGAGCGUUGUCCGGAUUUAUUGGGCGUAAAGAGCGUGUAGGCGGCCAUACAGGUCCGUUGUGAAAACUGGAGGCUUAACCUCCAGACGUCGAUGGAAACCGUAUGGCUAGAGUCCGGAAGAGGAGAGUGGAAUUCCUGGUGUAGCGGUGAAAUGCGCAGAUAUCAGGAAGAACACCCGUGGCGAAGGCGGCUCUCUGGGACGGUACUGACGCUGAGACGCGAAAGCGUGGGGAGCGAACAGG
RNAcentral lists this ribosomal RNA (253 nucleotides) under uncultured bacterium. Its description in RNAcentral is "partial 16S ribosomal RNA". It matches the Rfam family "Bacterial small subunit ribosomal RNA", at positions 524 to 776 of the family's 1533-position model. The record is from RNAcentral.